Molecule: ribosomal RNA, 252 nt
Filed under: uncultured prokaryote
Description: partial 16S rRNA
Rfam family: Bacterial small subunit ribosomal RNA
Source: RNAcentral
ACGGAGGGGGCAAGCGUUGUUCGGAUUUACUGGGCGUAAAGGGUGUGUAGGCGGUGGCGUCAGUCUGGUGUGAAAUCUUCACCGCUUUACGGGAAGAGGUCACUGGAAACUGCGUAACUCGAGUAUGGUAGAGGCAAGCGGAAUUCCUGGUGUAGCGGUGGAAUGUGUAGAUAUCAGGAAGAACCCCGGUGGCGAAGGCGGCUUGCUGGGCAAUCACUGACGCUGAGACACGAAAGCGUGGGGAGCAAACGG